AGUGAACGCUGGCGGUAGGCCUUACACAUGCAAGUCGAACGGCAGCACAGUAAGAGCUUGCUCUUACGGGUGGCGAGUGGCGGACGGGUGAGGAAUACAUCGGAAUCUACUUUUUCGUGGGGGGUAACGUAGGGAAACUUACGCUAAUACCGCAUACGACCUACGGGUGAAAGCAGGGGAUCUUCGGACCUUGCGCGAUUGAAUGAGCCGAUGUCGGAUUAGCUAGUUGGCGGGGUAAAGGCCCACCAAGGCGACGAUCCGUAGCUGGUCUGAGAGGAUGAUCAGCCACACUGGAACUGAGACACGGUCCAGACUCCUACGGGAGGCAGCAGUGGGGAAUAUUGGACAAUGGGCGCAAGCCUGAUCCAGCCAUACCGCGUGGGUGAAGAAGGCCUUCGGGUUGUAAAGCCCUUUUGUUGGGAAAGAAAAGCAGCAGGUUAAUACCCCGCUGUUCUGACGGUACCCAAAGAAUAAGCACCGGCUAACUUCGUG
Molecule: ribosomal RNA, 492 nt
Filed under: uncultured bacterium
Lineage: Bacteria
Description: partial 16S ribosomal RNA
Rfam family: Bacterial small subunit ribosomal RNA
Source: RNAcentral